GGUGUUAUGGUUGGAAUGGGUCAAAAAGACAGCUAUGUAGGGGAUGAAGCACAGAGUAAAAGGCAUCCUGACGCUGAAGUGUCCCAUUGAGCACGGAAUCAUCACAAACUGGGAUGACAUGGAAAAGAUUUGGCAUCAUUCUUUCUAUAAUGAACUCCGGGUUGCGCCAGAGGAACACCCCGUCCUGCUGACCGAGGCCCCCUUGAAUCCCAAGGCCAACCGUGAAAAAAUGACUCAGAUUAUGUUCGAGACAUUCAAUGUGCCAGCCAUGUAUGUAGCGAUUCAGGCAGUGCUGUCCCUGUAUGCAUCUGGAAGAACAACUGGAAUAGUUUUGGAUUCUGGGGAUGGUGUCACACACAAUGUGCCUAUCUAUGAGGGCUAUGCCUUGCCUCAUGCCAUCAUGAGACUCGAUCUGGCAGGCAGAGACCUGACUGACUAUCUCAUGAAAAUUCUUACGGAGAGAGGCUACUCUUUUGUCACCACUG
Non-coding RNA from Tauraco erythrolophus (red-crested turaco), 485 nucleotides. NCBI's taxonomy places the organism in Eukaryota, Metazoa, Chordata, Aves, Musophagiformes, Musophagidae. The record is from RefSeq and is a predicted model, not a curated record.